GACGGAGGAGGCUAGCGUUAUCCGGAAUUAUUGGGCGUAAAGGGUACGUAGGCGGCUGGUCAAGUCUGGGGUCAAAGGCCACAGCUCAACUGUGGGAAGGCCCUGGAAACUGACCGGCUAGAGUGAGGUAGGGGUUGCGGGAAUUCCAGGUGUAGCGGUGAAAUGCGUAGAGAUCGGGAAGAACACCUGAGGCGGAAGCGCGCAACUGGGCCUCAACUGACGCUGAGGUAAGAAAGCUAGGGGAGCGAAUGGG
Molecule: ribosomal RNA, 253 nt
Filed under: uncultured bacterium
Lineage: Bacteria
Description: partial 16S ribosomal RNA
Rfam family: Bacterial small subunit ribosomal RNA
Source: RNAcentral